UACGGGAGGCAGCAGUGGGGAAUAUUGCACAAUGGGCGCAAGCCUGAUGCAGCCAUGCCGCGUGUAUGAAGAAGGCCUUCGGGUUGUAAAGUACUUUCAGUCGUGAGGAAGGUGUUAAGGUUAAUAACCUUAGCAAUUGACGUUAGCGACAGAAGAAGCACCGGCUAACUCCGUGCCAGCAGCCGCGGUAAUACGGAGGAUGCGAGCGUUAAUCGGAAUUACUGGGCGUAAAGGGCACGCAGGCGGUUAAUUAAGUUGGAUGUGAAAUCCCCGGGCUUAACCUGGGAAUGGCAUUCAAGACUGGUUAGCUAGAGUCUUGUAGAGGGGGUUAGAAUUCCAUGUGUAGCGGUGAAAUGCGUAGAGAUGUGGAGGAAUACCGGUGGCGAAGGCGGCCCCUGGGACAAAGACUGACGCUCAUGUGCGAAAGGCGUGGGGAGCGAAACAGGGAUUAGAUACC
RNAcentral lists this ribosomal RNA (457 nucleotides) under uncultured bacterium. RNAcentral's name for it is "bacterial SSU rRNA". It matches the Rfam family "Bacterial small subunit ribosomal RNA", at positions 340 to 786 of the family's 1533-position model. The record is from RNAcentral.